Molecule: long non-coding RNA, 816 nt
Filed under: Pan troglodytes (chimpanzee)
Lineage: Eukaryota; Metazoa; Chordata; Mammalia; Primates; Hominidae
Description: long non-coding RNA NONPTRT013412
Source: RNAcentral
AUCUGUAGUGUGCUACCUCUUUAAUGGGAAAUCUUAGAGGCUAUCAGUAUUGAAUGGUGACCAGAGGAAAAUACUGCUCUACAUAUAGGUCUGGGCUGUCAUACAAACUGAUCUGCUACUGGGGCCUCAUGACCUAGCAGAUCCAAAAGUAUUCAACAUGUUUGUGGCAGAUGCAAAUGCUGUUUAGAACCUUCGAGAGGUCGCUGUAGAAGCACAAUGCAAAACUUCAGGAUUUUGGAGCAAAACUUUGUCAUCUUUUGCACACACAGUGUUCUCUUUUGAUAGCUCCUGGUGUGCUACUGGACCCUAGUAGAGAUAGAAUGUCUGACUCUGAGCCACUAAGUAACCAUUCAACCUCUUCUGCCCUUCAAGACCUGGGAAAUGUCUGAAAAAACAAGUAAUGAAACGUGUGUAUAGCAGCACUCCAUUACAAGUUGUAGUUUUAUAUACGAGAUUGGUCUCAAGCAAGACCUAAAGGUAAAAGUAAGAGGCUCAGAUUUGCAUGGCUCCUCCUCUUGCUGCAUUAACUGCUGUCUCUCAACGCAAGCAUACUGUAACAUAUUGAUGGAGGAGGAAAAUGCUGAGUCUCGUUUACAGAUAAUUCUAUGUAACAUGCUGGCAUCACCUAAAGUGGAGAACUGCGAGAUUACUGCCCCAUCCAAGAAAACCCUUCAGCAGCCCCAUUCUUCAGGAACCGUGAAGGACUAUGGCAAAGAACUAUCUGAUGAUGAAACGACCCAGACUCAAUUUUCCCAACUUCAGAGCCUUUUCUAUCCAUGAUCCCUCAUUCCUGCCUUUCUUGCCAUUCCUGUCCUG